This 553-nucleotide long non-coding RNA is filed under the name Pongo abelii (Sumatran orangutan). RNAcentral's name for it is "lincRNA". The record is from RNAcentral. Lineage: Eukaryota; Metazoa; Chordata; Mammalia; Primates; Hominidae.
AUCACAUCAGGGCUCACUAUCUGAGUGACAAUGAACAAGUUUCUCACCCACUUCAAGUCUUAGUUUUUCCUCUGUGAAAUGGGACUAAUUGUUUAUUAGACAAUAUUAGAAGCCAGGCGUGGUGGCUCUCGCCUGUAAUCCCAGCACUUUGGGAGGCCGAGGCGGGCAGAUCACUUGAGGUCAGGAGUUUGAGACCAGCCUGGCCAAUAUGGUGAACCCUCUCUCUACUAAAAAUACAAAACUUAGCCGGGUGUGGUGGCGUGUUCCUGUAGCCCCAGCUACUCAGGAGGCUGAGCCACGAGAAUCACUUGUACCCGGAUGGUGGGGGUUGUAGUGAGCCAAGAUCGUGCCACUGUACUCCAGCCUGGGCAACAGAGAAAGACUCAAUCUCAAAAAAAAAAAAAAAGUUAGAAAAUUAAUUUUGUUACAUGUGAGAAUAGUUUUUUGAUUAUGUAAGACAAUGUUUCUGUUUUUUAAUGAAUACUAAAACAUUCAGCAAUGAGAUGUCCCGAUAUCUUUAGCUUACCUUAAACUACUGCACAAAAAUAGACCA